UAAUACAUAGGGUGCAAGCGUUGUCCGGAAUUAUUGGGCGUAAAGAGCUCGUAGGUCGUUUGACACGUCGGAUGUGAAAAUCUGAGGCUUAACCUCAGACCUGCAUUCGAUACGGUCAAACUAGAGUGUGGUAGGGGAGACUGGAAUUCCUGGUGUAGCGGUGGAAUGCGCAGAUAUCAGGAGGAACACCAAUGGCGAAGGCAGGUCUCUGGGCCAUUACUGACACUGAGGAGCGAAAGCGCGGGGAGCGAACAGGAUUAGAUACCCUGGUAGUCCGCGCCGUAAACGGUGGGCACUAGUUGUGGGAACCUUCCACGGUUUCCGCGACGCAGCUAACGCAUUAAGUGCCCCGCCUGGGGAGUACGAUCGCAAGAUUAAAACUCAAAGGAAUUGACGGGGCCCGCACAAGCAGCGGAGCAUGCGGCUUAAUUCGACGCAACGCGAAGAACCUUACCAAGGCUUGACAGUUAGAGAAAAGCUACAGAGAUGUAGUGUCCGCAA
RNAcentral lists this ribosomal RNA (501 nucleotides) under uncultured Devriesea sp. RNAcentral's name for it is "bacterial SSU rRNA". It matches the Rfam family "Bacterial small subunit ribosomal RNA", at positions 521 to 1020 of the family's 1533-position model. Lineage: Bacteria; Bacillati; Actinomycetota; Actinomycetes; Micrococcales; Dermabacteraceae. The record is from RNAcentral.